UUGUUAUCAGGAUACCACUUUCAUUACUAUGUUCAGACCAUAGAUGUGAGUACAUCUAUGUUUAGACUAAUAGGGAUUUCCCAUUUUAAUUUGUAACAGCUGAUUCAACAGUUCACGCAAGUUCAAAAAUAUGUGUAAACAAUUAUAUCAACAAAAGAUGGGUAUCUGCUGGAAGUUUAUUUUGUUGUUUGUCAGAAUUCUUAUAAUUAUGGCAUGUAUAGUCAAAUCACAGAAUAUAUGUUACAAAUGUGAAUGCACUAUCAGCGAGGAAUAUUCAGACGUCCGAGCAGUGCGCAAGGUACAUCCAGUGUGCAACGAAGGUAGUUUCAAAUGGUAUAAUGUUUACGGUGGAGCUCUCCGUAUUAAAUUUCAACCAAUUUUCCGUGGUGAUUUCCUGUUGUGUUUCAUUUUGUAUGCAGAAAAUGUAAGAGUUCAGAUUUCACAAGAACUUCCAAAUGAAUCUACGUACAGUGUUAACUUUGAACGACCAGCUGGCUUAAAGCGACUUAUAGUAGCAGACGGCAGAACUAAUGAGACAUGCAUAAUAUCCUCUGGUGAAAGCAUUCAUUUAUUUCUAGAACCAGAAAGAACUGUAGAGUCUAUUGGGUUUAGUUUUGUUGACAUACAAUUCAUAAUGGAAAGAAACAAUGCAUAACACCAGACAUAAGCUAAAUUUUUGUAGCGAACAAUAACCCGAAUCUGAUGACAAUAACUAAACUAGUGUAACGAAACAAUCAUCUAGCCUAUAUAUACGUUGGAAAAAAAAAAACCCGACUAUUUUGGAACGACAAGUAUUUUUUUGUUAAAUUUGCAGUAGAAAUAAAAGCUGAUAACCAUUA
This is a long non-coding RNA of Mytilus californianus (California mussel), 839 nucleotides long. RefSeq lists it as uncharacterized. The transcript is spliced from 2 exons. The record is from RefSeq and is a predicted model, not a curated record. Lineage: Eukaryota; Metazoa; Mollusca; Bivalvia; Mytilida; Mytilidae.